AUUGAACGCUGGCGGCAGGCCUAACACAUGCAAGUCGAGCGGAUGAAGGGAGCUUGCUCCUGGAUUCAGCGGCGGACGGGUGAGUAAUGCCUAGGAAUCUGCCUGGUAGUGGGGGAUAACGUCCGGAAACGGGCGCUAAUACCGCAUACGUCCUGAGGGAGAAAGUGGGGGAUCUUCGGACCUCACGCUAUCAGAUGAGCCUAGGUCGGAUUAGCUAGUUGGUGGGGUAAAGGCCUACCAAGGCGACGAUCCGUAACUGGUCUGAGAGGAUGAUCAGUCACACUGGAACUGAGACACGGUCCAGACUCCUACGGGAGGCAGCAGUGGGGAAUAUUGGACAAUGGGCGAAAGCCUGAUCCAGCCAUGCCGCGUGUGUGAAGAAGGUCUUCGGAUUGUAAAGCACUUUAAGUUGGGAGGAAGGGCAGUAAGUUAAUACCUUGCUGUUUUGACUGUACCAACAGAAUAAGCACCGGCUAACUUCGUG
RNAcentral lists this ribosomal RNA (484 nucleotides) under uncultured bacterium. RNAcentral's name for it is "partial 16S ribosomal RNA". It matches the Rfam family "Bacterial small subunit ribosomal RNA", at positions 30 to 507 of the family's 1533-position model. The record is from RNAcentral.